This 429-nucleotide ribosomal RNA is filed under the name Acidobacteriota bacterium. Its description in RNAcentral is "Acidobacteria bacterium partial 16S ribosomal RNA". It matches the Rfam family "Bacterial small subunit ribosomal RNA", at positions 355 to 776 of the family's 1533-position model. The record is from RNAcentral. Lineage: Bacteria; Pseudomonadati; Acidobacteriota.
UGGGGAAUUUUGGACAAUGGGGGAAACCCUGAUCCAGCCAUCCCGCGUGUGCGAUGAAGGCCUUCGGGUUGUAAAGCACUUUUGGCAGGAAAGAAACGUCAUGGGUUAAUACCCCGUGAAACUGACGGUAUCUGCAGAAUAAGCACCGGCUAACUACGUGCCAGCAGCCGCGGUAAUACGUAGGGUGCAAGCGUUAAUCGGAAUUACUGGGCGUAAAGCGUGCGCAGGCGGUUCGGAAAGAAAGAUGUGAAAUCCCAGAGCUCAACUUUGGAACUGCAUUUUUAACUACCGGGCUAGAGUGUGUCAGAGGGAGGUGGAAUUCCGCGUGUAGCAGUGAAAUGCGUAGAUAUGCGGAGGAACACCGAUGGCGAAGACAGCCUCCUGAGAUAACACAGACGCUCAUGCACGAAAGCGUGGGGAGCAAACAGG